AUAAUAUGUAAAGUGUAUGCAUGUUUGUCUUUUCAGUGGUGCCUCAACUUAUUCUAGUGGAGAAUGUCCGACCAAAUAAAUGUCAACCGCUUCAUCUAGACGGACCACACCAAGAAAACUGAAUAUGAAUAUAUCUUACUAUUAUCUGCAGUCGUUCUAAAAUGAAAGAAUUGUAAUCAGUUAUCUGUCAAUAAAAGCUUGUUCUGUA
Mizuhopecten yessoensis (Yesso scallop) is the source of this 208-nucleotide long non-coding RNA. RefSeq lists it as uncharacterized. NCBI's taxonomy places the organism in Eukaryota, Metazoa, Mollusca, Bivalvia, Pectinida, Pectinidae. The record is from RefSeq and is a predicted model, not a curated record. The transcript is spliced from 2 exons.